GGUCACAGGAGCAGGAGAUGGGCUUGGAAAAGCAUAUUCCUUUGAGCUGGCAAAACGCGGGCUAAAUAUUGUUAUGAUAAGUAGAACUCUUGAGAAGCUGCAGAGAGUGGCCAAUGAAAUUGAACCUUGUCAACUGUAACAUUAUUUCUGUUACAAAGGUGGAGCCAGAAGAAAAAAAUCUGAAAACACGAUAGAGUUUGCUUUCUCCUUAUGAUUGAAAACUGAAGAUGCAUGACAUUCAGAUAUUGAUAACAAACUUUGGAUAAGCAUAAGAUUUUCAUGGCUUAGACGACUAACCUUAGAAUUUUUCUAACAAUUUAGCUAAUUGGUAGUCCACUAGCAUUUCUAAAAUGUUUCUCAGAUCUUUGAAUGUGCCAUAUUUGAACUGGACAUGUAUGUCUGGGGCUUAAGCAAAUGGGAAACC
This 424-nucleotide long non-coding RNA is filed under the name Gallus gallus (chicken). RNAcentral describes it as "long non-coding RNA NONGGAT011881". The record is from RNAcentral. Lineage: Eukaryota; Metazoa; Chordata; Aves; Galliformes; Phasianidae.